Non-coding RNA from Cyanistes caeruleus (blue tit), 649 nucleotides. NCBI's taxonomy places the organism in Eukaryota, Metazoa, Chordata, Aves, Passeriformes, Paridae. The record is from RefSeq and is a predicted model, not a curated record.
AAAAUAGAAUAAUAGGACACUGGCACAAGCUUUAUUUUUAACAAGAUAAACCAAGGUACUGACUCUGUUUUCCUCGACUCCAGGUGUUCCUGCUAAAGAGAAAAUUACUUGCAGAGGAUCAGAACAACAACAAAAUUCAGUCUUAAAUCUGAAACUCCCUGAGGAGAACACAAGAAAUAGAAGUGUGAUUUUAGUACUACCUGAUAACUGGGGCAUCUUUUGAUUUUUAAAGCCAGAAUUUCUUGUUUCAUUUGAAUAGUCCAUUUAGGACUAAUGGAUCCAGGUAUCAGACCUCAAUCCUCGUGAGCAGUUUUAGCAUUACCAUUUAAUUCUUGCAAUACUUUUAGCUACCUUUUGUUUGCUUUCUUGUCUUACCAUUACUUUCGUUUCUCACAAGCAAGUUAAAACCAGUGCCCUUGAUGUCUGUCCUGGCUUUAGCAGUAUCUUGUCUGACUGAGUUGAGAGUAUAAUUGCUGGGAUAACUGGGAAUUUGUGCAUUUAUUCAUUUGGGUGUACAUAUUGUGGAAGGGGAGAGGUCUUUAGCAUAAUUAAGCAUUAAGUUUAAUAAUUUAAGUGUGGAUUUGAACAGUCCUUAGUGUUGCUAAUGGUACGUUUAUUCUAAAUGCUAGCAAGAAUUCCAUAAUUCCAA